RNAcentral lists this small RNA (130 nucleotides) under Marmota monax (woodchuck). The record is from RNAcentral. Lineage: Eukaryota; Metazoa; Chordata; Mammalia; Rodentia; Sciuridae.
GCUGGGUGUGGUGGUGUAUGCCUGUGAUCCCAGUAGCUUGGGAGGCUGAGGCAGGAGGAUUGCGAGUUCAAAGCCAGCCUCAACAACUUAGUAAGGCCCAAAGUUUGCAUGUCACAAGACCCUGUCUCUA